GAUUAAGUUAUUAAGGGCGCACGGUGGAUGCCUUGGCACUAGAAGCCGAUGAAGGACGUUACUAACGACGAUAUGCUUUGGGGAGCUGUAAGUAAGCUUUGAUCCAGAGAUUUCCGAAUGGGGAAACCCAGCAUGAGUUAUGUCAUGUUAUCGAUAUGUGAAUACAUAGCAUAUCAGAAGGCACACCCGGAGAACUGAAACAUCUUAGUACCCGGAGGAAGAGAAAGAAAAUUCGAUUCCCUUAGUAGCGGCGAGCGAAACGGGAAGAGCCCAAACCAACAAGCUUGCUUGUUGGGGUUGUAGGACACUCUAUACGGAGUUACAAAGGACGACAUUAGACGAAUCAUCUGGAAAGAUGAAUCAAAGAAGGUAAUAAUCCUGUAGUCGAAAAUGUUGUCUCUCUUGAGUGGAUCCUGAGUACGACGGAGCACGUGAAAUUCCGUCGGAAUCUGGGAGGACCAUCUCCUAAGGCUAAAUACUCUCUAGUGACCGAUAGUGAACCAGUACCGUGAGGGAAAGGUGAAAAGCACCCCGGAAGGGGAGUGAAAUAGAACCUGAAACCGUGUGCUUACAAGUAGUCAGAGCCCGUUAAUGGGUGAUGGCGUGCCUUUUGUAGAAUGAACCGGCGAGUUACGAUUUGAUGCAAG
This 647-nucleotide ribosomal RNA is filed under the name Staphylococcus aureus. RNAcentral's name for it is "partial 23S ribosomal RNA". It matches the Rfam family "Bacterial large subunit ribosomal RNA", at positions 1 to 644 of the family's 2925-position model. Lineage: Bacteria; Bacillati; Bacillota; Bacilli; Caryophanales; Staphylococcaceae. The record is from RNAcentral.